This 497-nucleotide ribosomal RNA is filed under the name uncultured bacterium. Its description in RNAcentral is "partial 16S ribosomal RNA". It matches the Rfam family "Bacterial small subunit ribosomal RNA", at positions 28 to 507 of the family's 1533-position model. The record is from RNAcentral.
GAUGAACGCUGGCGGCGUGCCUAAUACAUGCAAGUCGAGCGAACAGAUAAGGAGCUUGCUCCUUUGACGUUAGCGGCGGACGGGUGAGUAACACGUGGGUAACCUACCUAUAAGACUGGGAUAACUUCGGGAAACCGGAGCUAAUACCGGAUAACAUUUGGAACCGCAUGGUUCUAAAGUGAAAGAUGGUUUUGCUAUCACUUAUAGAUGGACCCGCGCCGUAUUAGCUAUUUGGUAAGGUAACGGCUUACCAAGGCGACGAUACGUAGCCGACCUGAGAGGGUGAUCGGCCACACUGGAACUGAGACACGGUCCAGACUCCUACGGGAGGCAGCAGUAGGGAAUCUUCCGCAAUGGGCGAAAGCCUGACGGAGCAACGCCGCGUGAGUGAUGAAGGGUUUCGGCUCGUAAAACUCUGUUAUUAGGGAAGAACAAACGUGUAAGUAACUGUGCACGUCUUGACGGUACCUAAUCAGAAAGCCACGGCUAACUACGUG